UGCCAGCCGCCGCGGUAAUACUGUAGGUGCAAGCGUUAAUCGGAAUUACUGGGCGUAAAGCGCGCGUAGGCGGCUAAGUCAGUCAGAUGUGAAAGCCCCGGGCUCAACCUGGGAACUGCAUUUGAUACUGCUUAGCUAGAGUAUGGGAGGGGGUUGUGGAAUUUCCUGUGUAGCGGUGAAAUGCGUAGAUAUAGGAAGGAACACCAGUGGCGAAGGCGACACCCUGGACCAAUACUGACACUGAGGUGCGAAAGCGUGGGGAGCAAACAGGAUUAGAUA
This 279-nucleotide ribosomal RNA is filed under the name uncultured bacterium. RNAcentral describes it as "partial 16S ribosomal RNA". It matches the Rfam family "Bacterial small subunit ribosomal RNA", at positions 506 to 784 of the family's 1533-position model. The record is from RNAcentral.